Molecule: ribosomal RNA, 625 nt
Filed under: Klebsiella pneumoniae
Lineage: Bacteria; Pseudomonadati; Pseudomonadota; Gammaproteobacteria; Enterobacterales; Enterobacteriaceae
Description: bacterial SSU rRNA
Rfam family: Bacterial small subunit ribosomal RNA
Source: RNAcentral
AUAUUGCACAAUGGGCGCAAGCCUGAUGCAGCCAUGCCGCGUGUAUGAAGAAGGCCUUCGGGUUGUAAAGCACUUUCAGCGGGGAGGAAGGGAGUAAAGUUAAUACCUUUGCUCAUUGACGUUACCCGCAGAAUAAGCACCGGCUAACUCCGUGCCAGCAGCCGCGGUAAUACGGAGGGUGCAAGCGUUAAUCGGAAUUACUGGGCGUAAAGCGCACGCAGGCGGUUUGUUAAGUCAGAUGUGAAAUCCCCGGGCUCAACCUGGGAACUGCAUCUGAUACUGGCAAGCUUGAGUCUCGUAGAGGGGGGUAGAAUUCCAGGUGUAGCGGUGAAAUGCGUAAAGAUCUGGAGGAAUACCGGUGGCGAAGGCGGCCCCCUGGACAAAGACUGACGCUCAGGUGCGAAAGCGUGGGGAGCAAACAGGAUUAAAUACCCUGGUAGUCCACGCCGUAAACGAUGUCUACUUGGAGGUUGUGCCCUUGAGGCGUGGCUUCCGGAGCUAACGCGUUAAGUCGACCGCCUGGGGAGUACGGCCGCAAGGUUAAAACUCAAAUGAAUUGACGGGGGCCCGCACAAGCGGUGGAGCAUGUGGUUUAAUUCCAUGCAACGCGAAGAACCUUACCUGG